AUUGAACGCUGGCGGCAGGCCUAACACAUGCAAGUCGAGCGGAUGAAGGGAGCUUGCUCCUGGAUUCAGCGGCGGACGGGUGAGUAAUGCCUAGGAAUCUGCCUGGUAGUGGGGGAUAACGUCCGGCAACGGGCGCUAAUACCGCAUACGUCCUGAGGGAGAAAGUGGGGGAUCUUCGGACCUCACGCUAUCAGAUGAGCCUAGGUCGGAUUAGCUAGUUGGUGGGGUAAAGGCCUACCAAGGCGACGAUCCGUAACUGGACUGAGAGGAUGAUCAGUCACACUGGAACUGAGACACGGUCCAGACUCCUACGGGAGGCAGCAGUGGGGAAUAUUGGACAAUGGGCGAAAGCCUGAUCCAGCCAUGCCGCGUGUGUGAAGAAGGUCUUCGGAUUUUAAAGCACUUUAAGUUGGGAGGAAGGGCAGUAAGUGAAUACCUUGCUGUUUUGACGUUACCAACAGAAUAAGCACCGGCUAACUUCGUG
This 484-nucleotide ribosomal RNA is filed under the name uncultured bacterium. Its description in RNAcentral is "partial 16S ribosomal RNA". It matches the Rfam family "Bacterial small subunit ribosomal RNA", at positions 30 to 507 of the family's 1533-position model. The record is from RNAcentral.